UAUUACAAGUUGAAAAUUAAUGAAAAUUAACACAAGUUAAUCUUGAUUAAAAGAUUAACAGAAGUUCAAUUUUUCCCCCUCUUUCUCUUCAUUCUUUUCCCUCUUCCGUCAACAGUUUAUUCCGUUUUUCUCCCCAAUUUGAUUGGGCGAAAAACCCUAAGAAGAAUCUGACGAUCCUUGAUUCCAUCCCACCGGAUUCCAUCCAGACGCUCCUUGAUAGCUACGUUGCUGUCUUCUCCAGAUUUUAUCAGAAUCUAUCCUUAUGUUACAUAGAUGCUGAAAUCCUGAUCUAGCCACUUCUAGGUGAAUCCAUUUCAUAUUUCUGAUAGCGCACAGGUCUAAUCACGGUCCGACUUGAUUUAUUGUAGGUUGUAACCGGUUCAACUUCCUCCAACGAGACUAGACCAUCGCCCUUCCUCAAAUGAUCAUCUAGGGUUUUCUUUUUUAGUUCCGACAAUGCUUUGAUGUCAUAUUGUAAAUCGUUUAAUGGAUGUGAUUGAAAAAAAUCGACAAGAACAAGGUAGUUCAGGAACCCGAUACAAGAAAACACACUAUUUGUGAUGUAGUUGGUCGUUUAU
This 578-nucleotide long non-coding RNA is filed under the name Zostera marina. RNAcentral's name for it is "long non-coding RNA (ZMAR_LNC003160)". Lineage: Eukaryota; Viridiplantae; Streptophyta; Magnoliopsida; Alismatales; Zosteraceae. The record is from RNAcentral.